CCUACGGGUGGCUGCAGUGAGGAAUAUUGGUCAAUGGGCGGAAGCCUGAACCAGCCAAGUAGCGUGAAGGAUGACGGCCCUACGGGUUGUAAACUGCUUUUAUACGGGAAUAACGCGCCUUACGUGUAGGGCUUUGCAUGUACCGGAUGAAUAAGGACCGGCUAAUUCCGUGCCAGCAGCCGCGGUAAUACGGAGGGUCCGGGCGUUAUCCGGAUUUAUUGGGUUUAAAGGGAGCGUAGGCGGCAUAUCAAGCGAGCGGUAAAAUUGAGGGGCUCAACCCCUGCGAGCCAUUGAUAAUGGGUUUGUUGAGUGAGUUAUAAGUAUGCGGAAUGCGUGGUGUAGCGGUGAAAUGCAUAGAUAUC
This 362-nucleotide ribosomal RNA is filed under the name uncultured bacterium. RNAcentral describes it as "partial 16S ribosomal RNA". It matches the Rfam family "Bacterial small subunit ribosomal RNA", at positions 338 to 698 of the family's 1533-position model. The record is from RNAcentral.